Non-coding RNA from Podarcis lilfordi (Lilford's wall lizard), 74 nucleotides. The record is from the annotation of a GenBank genome assembly. Lineage: Eukaryota; Metazoa; Chordata; Lepidosauria; Squamata; Lacertidae.
GCUUGUAUAGCUCAGUUGUUUAGAGCGUUAUGCUGAUAAUGCCAAGGUUGCAGGUUCAAUCCCUGUUUGGGACA